CCGGCUAACUGUUAACCCUAGCGGCUCUUUGACCGAACAAGGUGUGGUAACGAGGUGCAUGGUCGGUUUAGCGGCGUCCAACGAGCCGACCUGACCCGAACGCCGCGCCAACCCGUUACGGUCUGGCAGGAGAAAAUGUCCGGUGAUGAAGAAAAUCAAUAGAAGAUGUUAGAGGACAGUUGGAGUCUGCGGGUCGGGUCUGGUCCCCACCUGUUGCUUCUGUCCCUCACUGGUCCAAGGUUAAGUAUGACGUCACCAUGACAUCAUAUGGAGUGAAAGUUCAUGGGAUUAUCCGGAUGGAUAACACAGAUCAUCUUCAUCCAAACUGGAAGGCAUUGGCUACUGCCCACAUGAAGUGGAAAGUAUUUGUACAAGCACAACCAGAAAUACCACUUGAGCAAAAGGAAAAACAGAAAAAGAUAUACAUGUCACUUGAUGGGGAAGAUGCCAAAAAGUUUUAUGAGGAAUUAGUUGAGGAUUGUUCUCAUCCCAGUUCUAGUGUUGAUCACAAACAGCUUGAAAUUGGAAAUUCUGAAAGAGCUCCCAACUUAGACAAAGAUGACUGUGAUGAAGUAGAGGAAAACAGCAACCAAAAAUGGUACAGUGGAAAAAAAGAAUGUCCUCAGUCCAUACAUAAGGCUAUGAAAUUUGCUCAGAAUAAUGACUCAGUUAAUUUGAGAGAAAUGGUAACCAAUGGUUUUAAUGUUAAUGCAAAAGAUGAAUAUGGCUGGUCACUUUUGAUGGUUUCAGCAUGUGCUGGUGCCAAGGAUGCAGUGCAAUUAUUACUUGAACACAAAGCAAGAACGGGUGCAAGGGACAGCAAGGGUAACACCGCUAUAUAUUUGGCAACUAUGAAAGGACAUAGAAAAAUUGUGGACAUGUUGAUAAAUUGUAGUAAAAAGAAAGACAGUAAUUACCAGUCACCUGAAGAUGUAAAUGUCGUUCAUUUGAAAAAGAAAUCCUUAACAGAGGAGUUUUUCUGCGACAUUUGCCAAAAGACUAUAAAAGAGAGCACAAAAAUACAGCAUGAGACUUCUAUUGUCCACCAGUUCAAGCUUGGGAUGGGGGCAAAUAAAACCAUGUAUGGCAUUCCUCCGAGCAAUAAAGGUUACCAGCUCCUUGUUAAUCAAGGCUGGGAUACAGAAAAGGGUCUUGGUCCUCAAAGUUCUGGGACCAAAUUUCCUGUAAAAACUGUACUGAAGAGAGACAGGGAAGGUCUAGGAAAUGUUAAAAAAGAUAUUGCAAGAGUCACACACUUUGGACCAGCUGAUACUGAUGCUGUUGAAAGAGUGUGUAAACCAGGUGAAAGAGUUGAACGACAUAAUACACUUAGCCGGAGGGAAAGAAAGAAACAGAAGACAGAAGAUCAAAGAAAAGAGAUCGAAAUAAGGAGAAUGCUGAAUGAACCAGAUUAUUAACAACUUUACUUCCAUAUACAGUACAGUAACUAGAAGUCUCCAGUCAUGAUGCCAGGAUGGUUUGACACCAUGUCCAAGUCUCCAGAAGUAGUGCAGAAAUAUUUAGAGGAGGUUGAAACAGCUGCUGAAGAAGUUAUUAGCGACCGACAGGAGAUUAUCACUCUUGACCGUCGACGAAAUACCAACAGGGAGGCA
This 1613-nucleotide unclassified non-coding RNA is filed under the name Homarus americanus (American lobster). RNAcentral describes it as "p53 and DNA damage-regulated protein 1-like, transcript variant X2". Lineage: Eukaryota; Metazoa; Arthropoda; Malacostraca; Decapoda; Nephropidae. The record is from RNAcentral.